CUCACCUCUUCCCAUCCCGAACAGAGAAGUUAAGCCCGUCAGCGCCGAUGGUACUGCAUCGUGGGAGAGUAGGUCGCCGCCUUAU
Molecule: ribosomal RNA, 85 nt
Filed under: Flavobacteriaceae bacterium
Lineage: Bacteria; Pseudomonadati; Bacteroidota; Flavobacteriia; Flavobacteriales; Flavobacteriaceae
Source: RNAcentral